Molecule: non-coding RNA, 169 nt
Filed under: pig gut metagenome
Description: Lysine riboswitch
Rfam family: Lysine riboswitch aptamer
About the family: Riboswitches are metabolite binding domains within certain messenger RNAs that serve as precision sensors for their corresponding targets.
Source: RNAcentral
AAUGAUAGAGGUUGCGUGCUUUAUAAGUACCUUAUCGGAUGUGACAGGACAGAAGAAGAUAAGGGGAAGGGAAGAACGCCGAAAGAAGUUUUCCGCCUGCCGGAUGAUUUCUUGGGCAUGAGUUUAAGAGGCUUAUGACUGUCAUCUGUAACAGAUGGGGCGCUAUCUU